Molecule: long non-coding RNA, 788 nt
Filed under: Prunus persica (peach)
Lineage: Eukaryota; Viridiplantae; Streptophyta; Magnoliopsida; Rosales; Rosaceae
Description: long non-coding RNA (PPER_LNC001586)
Source: RNAcentral
UUCGCUCCUCGCCAUCUUCGUGAUCGCGUCCACCACGUUCUUGUAGUCGCGGCCGCCAGCCUGCAUCCGGACCAUGGCCACGUCGGCUGGGUUGCCGACGGCGGCGCCGACUCCGCCGGCGACGAGCCCGGCGAGGAUUUUCCUGGUCAGGGGGAGGUUUCCGGUGUUUGGGUCGGCCCACUGGACUUUCAGGGCUUCGUAGAGGCCCAUGCGGGUGGUGGAGUAGAGAGUCUGGCGAAGGACGGUGGCGGAGACGCCGGAGUAUAGGGCGGCGAUGCCUUCCGUCCGCACGAUGCGAACUCCGACCGAGAUGGGCCCCGCGCGUGCCGGCGGGGCCGGCGGUGGUGGUGGUGGGCCCACCAGAGUGGCAGAGUGGGAAUUAAAGGCAAAAGCGGGGCGGAGAUUGUGGACGGGCUGUGGGGCCCGAGCGGCGGCGCUGUUGCUCUCACCCUGGAGCUGCAUGCGGACCUUGAUGAGAUCAAGCGGGUGGGUGGAGCAGCCUGCAACAAUGGAAGCUAAGCCUCCCUCAACGAAACCUUUGACACCCAUUUCUUGAAGUGAGAAUCAAAGGUCGAACUUUUGUUCUUCUGGGUUGUUAGAAAAUUGAAAGAAUGAAAGAAUGAGGUUAAACAGAGGAGCAAAAUUGGAGAGAAGGAAAUGGGAAGAGGGAGAUUAGGGUUAGGACCAAGAGGAGGCAGGGUUCAUUUCACUGGAGAUGCGGAGGUGAGAAUGAAGGGCAAAGGCUAUGGAGGAAGAGUGAGGGACGUUGGGCCUCUGAGACAUAAGCA